Long non-coding RNA from Neopsephotus bourkii (Bourke's parrot), 407 nucleotides. RefSeq lists it as uncharacterized. NCBI's taxonomy places the organism in Eukaryota, Metazoa, Chordata, Aves, Psittaciformes, Psittacidae. The record is from RefSeq and is a predicted model, not a curated record. The transcript is spliced from 3 exons.
UGCCUUUUACUUAGUUGGUGGCCUUAACAUGGCUCCUUUUAACUUUUCCACAUCGUUCAUGUGUCCUCAGCCUCCUGUCGUUCCCUUUCCAGGGCUAUGUUUCAGAUCACAUCAUGUAGUCACAGCAGAGGAAACUGGUACCAGCAAGAGUCUCACUCAAAUGAUUCCAACCUCUGCAUGAACUACUUCACCUUUCCUGAGAUUCUGAGAUGUUUUGUCUCAGAGCUCAAGAAUGUGGGAUGGAUGCAGCACUGGAGGGGACACUAAGUCUUGCCCAAGACCUAAAAUGCUGGGAGUAAUGAAUGUGCUAAACCUCACACCCCCAGCAACCCAAGGAGACAGAACAUCUAUUUAUACAAAUACAAAUUGUCCCCAGCAUUCAUGCAGUACUAGAAAGCUAACCCACA